Molecule: ribosomal RNA, 503 nt
Filed under: uncultured bacterium
Lineage: Bacteria
Description: partial 16S ribosomal RNA
Rfam family: Bacterial small subunit ribosomal RNA
Source: RNAcentral
AUUGAACGCUGGCGGCAGGCUUAACACAUGCAAGUCGAGCGGGGUGAUGGUGCUUGCACUAUCACUUAGCGGCGGACGGGUGAGUAAUGCUUAGGAAUCUGCCUAUUAGUGGGGGACAACAUCUCGAAAGGGAUGCUAAUACCGCAUACGUCCUACGGGAGAAAGCAGGGGAUCACUUGUGACCUUGCGCUAAUAGAUGAGCCUAAGUCGGAUUAGCUAGUUGGUGGGGUAAAGGCCUACCAAGGCGACGAUCUGUAGCGGGUCUGAGAGGAUGAGCCGCCACACUGGGACUGAGACACGGCCCAGACUCCUACGGGAGGCAGCAGUGGGGAAUAUUGGACAAUGGGGGGAACCCUGAUCCAGCCAUGCCGCGUGUGUGAAGAAGGCCUUAUGGUUGUAAAGCACUUUAAGCGAGGAGGAGGCUCUUUUGGUUAAUACCCGAGAUGAGUGGACGUUACUCGCAGAAUAAGCACCGGCUAACUCUGUGCCAGCCGCCGCGGUAA